RNAcentral lists this long non-coding RNA (1843 nucleotides) under Manacus vitellinus (golden-collared manakin). RNAcentral describes it as "lncRNA (ENSMVIG00005006054.1)". The record is from RNAcentral. Lineage: Eukaryota; Metazoa; Chordata; Aves; Passeriformes; Pipridae.
CUCCCCCGUGUCUCGCCCCCGUGUCUCGCAGGCGGCUGUGGAGCCCCCGCAGCAGCGAUGGAGCCCCGCUGCCCGCCCUGGCUGCAGAGCUUUGCCCGGCCGUGCCGCCUCCUGCUCCACGCGCUGGCCUCCGGCCCCGCCGGGGCACUCGCCGCCCUCCGGAUGCUGCAGCGGGACCAGCCCCGCGAGGGACCGGGACAGGCGUUCCCCUGGCAGGCCCUCACCGCAGCCCUGUGCGCCGAGGAGCCCGUGCUGGAGGAACCACAGGGCGUCCUGGCAGUGUGAGUCAGAUGCGUUUCUAAAACUUGGUGUUUGUGGGAGGUUUGGCGUGUCAGAUGCCUAAUUUGAGUCCGCAUGUCCACUUACCCCAGUGCAGCGGUCCAUGCCUGAGUCUGGGAUCGUAGCAGCGGCCAGCUGGUCUCCCAGCUUGUGUCUGCAAAAGCUGGUGAAGGCGUUAGCUGCUGCCUCCUCUUGCUCCAUAGAGAGGCACACAGGGCAGCUUGGAGUCAGGACGAGGAGGUUUGCUGUGACAAGUUGCCUUUCCUUUUCUCCCCUUACCCAGCAAGCCACGGCUGCUGCUGCUGCCCAUCAUGUGCCAGAGAAACUUCUUCUCCCUGCUCCUCAUGAUGCGGGAUGCAGUACCAGGAGGCUGCCUUGGCCAGCUGCUCCAGGCCAUGGAACAGGAUUCCCAUGUGGAUCCCUGGAUGCGGACGCUGGGGGGUCUGCUCCAGCAGGGACCAAGAACAGAAGAGCGCUUCCCAUCUCCCACUCCACUCUCGUCUACAUGCCAGCAGCAGCUUAGGUGCCUGUGCCAGAAAAUUGCCCAGAACAAACCAGAGGGGCAAAGGAAAUUGAACUGGUGCUUUAGGAAGCAACCUGGUGCCACUGGAGAUGUGGCUGACUCUGUGCCUCAAGGUGGAAAGCGCAAGAAAGUGUUGGAGGAGGGAGCGGAGUUGGUCAGUGACAGAGAGAGGAAGAGAUUGCUGCUGGAGGAGGUGGCGUUUGACCCUCUGGGACCCCAGGAAUGUGGGGAUGUGACAGGGAUAGAAGAGGAGGUGCCUGAGGAGCCUUCAGUGGGUACAUGUGCUGAGAGCACAGAUGGGGCUGCUCCAGACAGCUCCCAGCAGGAUGCAGUUGGGGAGCUCAGGAAGAGUCCUGAAACAGAGCUGGCAGCAGAGGCCCAGUCCUUUCUCCAGGUACUGGGUAGGGUUUGCUCUCCCCUUCCAGACAGUGAGCCUUUACAGCCUGAUUCCCCUUCCUUCAUCUCAUUUCCCUCAGAUGCAUGGACAGAAGCUGAAAAUGCUGCUGCUGCAGGAGUCCAGCCACUCCGAGCUGAGCAUCCCGCCUGAGCUGUGCAUCCUGAACAGCUGCUCCCCCAGCCAGCUUGAAGGACUGUGCUCCUUCCUCCAGCUGUCUGUGUGCCCAGAGCCCUUCAUGGGGCGUUUCUGCAGGUGGCUGCUGGCUCUCACCCCUGACCUCAGCUACACCAGCGCGGCCAUCCUGGCAGAGCAGCUCUUCCUCAGGCGAGUACGUGCAAGGGCAGCAGAAGUUUCCUGCUCCCUGUUUCCCUUCUCCACCAUCCCCACCUCCUACCUUUUCUGUCCCUAGGUCCUGUCCCUUACCCAACCACCUUCCCGACACCUCAUGGCUGCCCUCGCUUCAUUUUGCUCCAAGUAUUCCCAACCCUUCUGCCAUGUGCUGGUGGCUGCGGUCCUGCAGGAGCCAGGGGAAGGUGCGGUGGGCUUGUGGGAGACAUGGCUGUGGGAGCUGGAGAAGGACCCUGUGCUGGUUUAAAAGUUAACCAGCAGGGGGAAUGAACCCAACUCAAAGGAGAGAUUAUAAG